RNAcentral lists this ribosomal RNA (1843 nucleotides) under Clostridioides difficile. RNAcentral describes it as "bacterial LSU rRNA". It matches the Rfam family "Bacterial large subunit ribosomal RNA", at positions 881 to 2723 of the family's 2925-position model. Lineage: Bacteria; Bacillati; Bacillota; Clostridia; Peptostreptococcales; Peptostreptococcaceae. The record is from RNAcentral.
CCUAUUCCAGAGGCUAGUUUUUAUUUUUUUUUUUUUUUCAAGCAGAAGACGGCAUACGAGAUCAGCCUCGGUCUCGUGGGCUCGGAGAUGUGUAUAAGAGACAGAUCUUAUACUUGGGAGUCAGACUGUGGGUGAUAAGAUUCAUAGUCGAAAGGGCAACAGCCCAGAUCGUCAGCUAAGGUCCCUAAAUGUAAGUUAAGUGGUAAAGGAUGUGGGAUUGCACAGACAACCAGGAUGUUGGCUUAGAAGCAGCCACUCAUUCAAAGAGUGCGUAAUAGCUCACUGGUCGAGUGAUCCUGCGCCGAAGAUUUCCGGGGCUAAAACUUACUACCGAAGCUACGGCAUCAGUAAUGAUGGGUAGGGGAGCUUCCCAUACGGGUUGAAGCAUGACCGUAAGGACAUGUGGACAGUAUGGGAGUGAGAAUGUUGGCAUGAGUAGCGAGAUGUGGGUGAGAAUCCCACAGGCCGUAAACCCAAGGUUUCCAGGGGAAGGUUCGUCCGCCCUGGGUUAGUCGGGACCUAAGCUGAGGCCGAAAGGCGUAGGUGAUGGACAACAGGUUGAUAUUCCUGUACUACCGAUAACCGUUUGAGAGAAGGGAUGACACAGUAGGAUAAGCUAAGCACACUGUUGGUUAUGUGUGCCCAAGCAUUGAGGCAGUCAAAGUAGGCAAAUCCGCUUUGAUAAUGCUGGGAUGUGAUGGGGAGCGAAAUUUAGUAGCGAAGUAGCUGAUUUCACACUGUCAAGAAAAGUCUCUAUCGAGGUUAAAGGUACCCGUACCGCAAACCGACACAGGUGGGUGAGGAGAGUAUCCUAAGGCCAGCGAGAGAACUGUUGUUAAGGAACUCGGCAAAAUGACCCCGUAACUUAGGGAUAAGGGGUGCCACCAUCAGGUGGCCGCAGAGAAUAGGCCCAAGCGACUGUUUACCAAAAACAUAGGUUUCUGCUAAGUCGCAAGACGAUGUAUAGGAGCUGACGCCUGCCCGGUGCUGGAAGGUUAAGGGGAUCUGUUAGAGCAAUCGAAGCAGUGAACUUAAGCCCCAGUAAACGGCGGCCGUAACUAUAACGGUCCUAAGGUAGCGAAAUUCCUUGUCGGGUAAGUUCCGACCCGCACGAAAGGCGUAACGAUUUGGGCACUGUCUCAACAACAGACUCGGUGAAAUUGUAAUUCCGGUGAAGAUGCCGGAUACCUGCGACAGGACGGAAAGACCCCAUGGAGCUUUACUGUAGCUUGACAUUGGGUCUUGGUACUACAUGUACAGGAUAGGUGGGAGGCUUUGAAACCAGGACGCCAGUUUUGGCGGAGCCAUCCUUGGGAUACCACCCUUGUAGUACUGGGACUCUAACCAUAGGCCAUGAAUCUGGUCUUGGGACACUGUCAGGUGGGCAGUUUGACUGGGGCGGUCGCCUCCCAAAAGGUAACGGAGGCGCUCAAAGGUUCUCUCAGUACGGUCGGAAAUCGUACGUAGAGUGUAAAGGCAAAAGAGAGCUUGAUUGCAAGACAUACAGGUCGAGCAAGGAUGAAAAUCGGACUUAGUGAUCCGGUGGUUCUGCGUGGAAGGGCCAUCGCUCAACGGAUAAAAGCUACCCUGGGGAUAACAGGCUUAUCUCCCCCAAGAGUCCACAUCGACGGGGAGGUUUGGCACCUCGAUGUCGGCUCAUCACAUCCUGGGGCUGUAGUAGGUCCCAAGGGUUGGGCUGUUCGCCCAUUAAAGUGGUACGCGAGCUGGGUUCAGAACGUCGUGAGACAGUUCGGUCCCUAUCCGUCGCAGGCGUAGGAAAUUUGAGAAGACCUGUCCUUAGUACGAGAGGACCGGGAUGGACGUACCUCUGGUGUACCAGUUG